CACCCGAUGGCUGAAAUAUAAGUUUAGGUCUUUUAAACCUAUCAUAGUAGUUUUCUACUUCUGGUGA
RNAcentral lists this transfer RNA (67 nucleotides) under Shinkaia crosnieri. RNAcentral's name for it is "tRNA-Lys". The record is from RNAcentral. Lineage: Eukaryota; Metazoa; Arthropoda; Malacostraca; Decapoda; Munidopsidae.